GAUGAACGCUAGCGGCAGGCCUAAUACAUGCAAGUCGAACGGGUGGUCGCAAGACCACUAGUGGCGCACGGGUGCGUAACGCGUAACCAACCUGCCCCGAUCUGGGGGAUAGCCCGCCGAAAGGCGGAUUAAUACCGCAUAUACCCGCAGCCUGGCAUCAGGCAACGGGGAAAGAUUUAUUGGAUCGGGAUGGGGUUGCGUGACAUUAGCUAGUUGGCGGGGUAAGGGCCCACCAAGGCGACGAUGUCUAGGGGACCUGAGAGGGUGAUCCCCCACACUGGCACUGAGAUACGGGCAAGACUCCUACGGGAGGCAGCAGUAGGGAAUAUUGGGCAAUGGGCGAGAGCCUGACCCAGCCAUGCCGCGUGCCGGAUGAAGGCCUUCUGGGUUGUAAACGGCUUUUCUCAGGGAAGAAAAAGACCUUGCGAGGUACACUGACGGUACCUGAGGAAUAAGCACCGGCUAACUCCGUG
RNAcentral lists this ribosomal RNA (473 nucleotides) under uncultured bacterium. RNAcentral describes it as "partial 16S ribosomal RNA". It matches the Rfam family "Bacterial small subunit ribosomal RNA", at positions 28 to 507 of the family's 1533-position model. The record is from RNAcentral.